CCUACGGGCGGCUGCAGUCGGGAAUUUUGGGCAAUGGGGGCAACCCUGACCCAGCAACGCCGCGUGAGCGAUGAAGGCCUUCGGGUCGUAAAGCUCUGUCGGGAGGGAAGAAGGUCCUCGGGGUGAACAAUCCCGGGGGCUUGACGGUACCUCCAAAGGAAGCGCCGGCUAACUCCGUGCCAGCAGCCGCGGUAAUACGGAGGGCGCAGCGGUUGUUCGGGGUUUCUGGGCGUAGGUGGGGAGGCGGCGGGCCUAACCCCGGAACUGCACUCGAAACUGCCUCGCUCGAGUCCCGGAGAGGAUGGUGGAAUUCCCGGUGUAGUGGUGAAAUACGUAGAUAUCGGGAGGAACACCAGCGGCGAAGGCGGCCAUCUGGACGGUGACUGACGCUGAGACGCGAAAGCGUGGGGAGCAAACAGGAUUAGAUACCCGGGUAGUC
Molecule: ribosomal RNA, 439 nt
Filed under: uncultured bacterium
Lineage: Bacteria
Description: partial 16S ribosomal RNA
Rfam family: Bacterial small subunit ribosomal RNA
Source: RNAcentral